Molecule: long non-coding RNA, 243 nt
Organism: Dicentrarchus labrax (European seabass)
Lineage: Eukaryota; Metazoa; Chordata; Actinopteri; Moronidae
Exons: 3
Source: RefSeq, a predicted model, not a curated record
GUUUUGUCCUCGGAGACCUCUGAUCACCAGGACGCACCAGGACGCACGACUCCACCUGACUGCGAAGACAAUCUGCAGCCAAUGAGCAGAUAGGCUGAUUCCACAUGCCGAUGGAUAUCAAUCAGGCAGUAGUGUGCUGGACCUCGAGGCUCGACACAACUGGAGUAGACCUGUAUGGACCUCAGGAAGCAGGCGCAGUUGUGUGUGCAGCAGUCAAAAGAAUAAAGUCGUCUUGUUCAACAA